CGUAAAAGGCUGUGUGACUCAGCUUCAUUUAUUAGAUAUCGGUGGGAGUGAAACUCUCACACAUGCUUUUGAGCACAAUGCUGGAUUUACAUUCAAAAAGUACGAAAUCUGGACUGCAUAUCGACAAGACGGAUAGUCUCAGGAGUGAUUUGUCCGAGGAUACAAGAUCUUCGUCUAAUUUGAUCCCGUGCACCUUUGGAAGAACAUCUACAGCAGCUUCCACAACAACGGCAGUAUGGUGCUGCCCAGGUGUCCUGGGGCUGAAGAGCCUGAGAGGAUGAGGACAGGCCGAUUCUCUAGCCGGAAGGUACUGGCCAGGUAGGAAAACCACAAGUCAGUCAAGGCCGGCUACAAGUUGACCAAGGAGGUGCUGGUGGGCUCUUCGAUCGAGAAGCAGAGCGUCGGGCUCAUAAUGGCGGUCGUCAACCCCAACACGGUCGCAUGGGCAAGAAGGAACACAGGGACACACAGGGCCGACAUCCUGGAGAUGAUCCCGAGGACAAAGGAGACGGCCCGGGCGGUCCUCAAGCAGCCAUCUCUCGCCAUGGCUCACAUGGCAUCCUUUGGAAUGUCGCUGUGGGACUCCCUGAUAUGCAGGAAGCACAAGAGCACCUGCUGGAGUUCCUGGCGGUCCCUCUUCAACUGUUGGGUGCAAACUUCUCCAAGGAUGUGAUUUCAGAAGCGAAGAAAAACAAGGCCUUGGAGUGGCCGGCCAUCAGGAAAUGGAGCAGUGUCGAGGACGGCAGAGAGGAGAUGGGGAGGAACAGGGACUUGUACAACUCGAGGUGGCCAGAAAAUGCAAGGCAUAGAAAAAGGCUAUGUGAUUGUUGAAAGACGAGGCUCACAUCCUGGUAACACCACAUCGAUUAUUUGCACUGCCUGAAUUAUCGGACUUUCAUAUGCAUUUUAUAUUCAUGUUUAUUUAGAUUUCAUACUUGCACGUCACUUUUGAGAUUUUAACUUAUCCUGCACUGUAAAGGGAUGCCCCACAAUUUCAUUGUUUAACUGUAUAAUGAUAAUAAAGGGCUAUUCUAUUCUAUAAUAAGUUGUGAUUGUACAUAGAAUGUAUUAAUAAUCUAUUUACAUAUUAUUUAUAAUUGAUUCUGCAUGUUUUCCUCAAGUAUUAAGUUUCUGAUGUUAAAUUGAGUGAUUUAUCAGCUGAUGAAUUUUUUUUCUAUUUACUGCAAAUUAAGUUGCUAUUU
Corythoichthys intestinalis (scribbled pipefish) is the source of this 1202-nucleotide long non-coding RNA. RefSeq lists it as uncharacterized. Lineage: Eukaryota; Metazoa; Chordata; Actinopteri; Syngnathiformes; Syngnathidae. The record is from RefSeq and is a predicted model, not a curated record. The transcript has 3 exons.